RNAcentral lists this transfer RNA (66 nucleotides) under human oral metagenome. It matches the Rfam family "tRNA", at positions 5 to 66 of the family's 71-position model. From Rfam's summary of the family: Transfer RNA (tRNA) molecules are approximately 80 nucleotides in length. Their secondary structure includes four short double-helical elements and three loops (D, anti-codon, and T loops). The record is from RNAcentral.
GGUGUAGCUCAGUUGGUUAGAGCGUCUGAUUGUGGUCCAGAAGGUCGUCGGUUCAAUUCCGAUCAC